GUUGCUUCGGCGGGUGGCGGGCUUCGGCCCUGCCCUCGGCCCCUCUCGGGGGCCCGCCGGAGGUACACCAAACUCUUGAAUUUACAUGGCCUCUCUGAGUCUUCUGUACUGAAUAAGUCAAAACUUUCAACAACGGAUCUCUUGGUUCUGGCAUCGAUGAAGAACGCAGCGAAAUGCGAUAAGUAAUGUGAAUUGCAGAAUUCAGUGAAUCAUCGAAUCUUUGAACGCACAUUGCGCCCGCCAGUAUUCUGGCGGGCAUGCCUGUCCGAGCGUCAUUUCAACCAUCAAGCCCCCGGCUUGUGUUGGGGACCUGCGGCACACCCGCAGGCCCUGAAAACCAGUGGCGGGCUCGCUGUCCACACCGAGCGUAGUAGCAUAUCUUUGUCUCGCUCAGGGCGUGCGGCGGGUUCCGGCCGUGAAACCCACCUUCUCGAAGGUACCCAAAGGUUGACCUCGGAUCAGGUAGGAAGACCCGCUGAACUUAAGCAUAUCAAA
RNAcentral lists this ribosomal RNA (495 nucleotides) under Chaetomium sp. ca_besc_86c. RNAcentral describes it as "eukaryotic LSU rRNA". The stretch from base 122 to 275 matches the Rfam family "5.8S ribosomal RNA". Lineage: Eukaryota; Fungi; Ascomycota; Sordariomycetes; Sordariales; Chaetomiaceae. The record is from RNAcentral.